RNAcentral lists this ribosomal RNA (320 nucleotides) under uncultured eukaryote. RNAcentral describes it as "partial 18S ribosomal RNA". It matches the Rfam family "Eukaryotic small subunit ribosomal RNA", at positions 1470 to 1796 of the family's 1831-position model. The record is from RNAcentral.
CCCCUAGAUGUUCUGGGCCGCACGCGCGCUACACUGAACAGUUCAACAAGUCUUAACCUUGGCCGAUAGGUCUGGGUAAUCUUUGAACGCUGUUCGUGAUUGGGAUAGACCUUUGCAAUUAUGGGGCUUCAACGAGGAAUUCCUAGUAAACGCAAGUCAUCAGCUUGCAUUGAUUACGUCCCUGCCCUUUGUACACACCGCCCGUCGCACCUACCGAUUGAAUGGUCCGGUGAAAUCUCGGGACGGCGGCUUGGUCGCUUGCGUCCGACUGCUGAAACUUGAUUAAACCAUAUCAUUUAGAGGAAGGUGAAGUCGUAACA